Molecule: long non-coding RNA, 165 nt
Organism: Bombina bombina (fire-bellied toad)
Lineage: Eukaryota; Metazoa; Chordata; Amphibia; Anura; Bombinatoridae
Exons: 2
Source: RefSeq, a predicted model, not a curated record
GAUGGUAUUUCACAAUCCUCUAUUUUGAAAAUGAUGAACAGGACACCUAAUGAAGAUAAACUGAUAUUUUGAAGAGAAUUGCCUUUCAAAGACCAUACAUCCAGAUUUCUUUUUUGAUGAAUUCCAAAUUCUUAUUUUUUUUAAAAUAAAUAUAUUUACAUACUA